Molecule: long non-coding RNA, 457 nt
Filed under: Homo sapiens (human)
Lineage: Eukaryota; Metazoa; Chordata; Mammalia; Primates; Hominidae
Description: HSALNT0122344
Source: RNAcentral
CUGAAACUAAGUCAAGUGGCUGCCAAAAGAAAAAGAAACGUGGUUUCCAACUGAGGAGCUAUGGAGAGAAUGAAUGGAAUAUAUCCGUGUACAGGUGGAAGAGUCUACCAGUCCUGGCUGGCCCCACUUCUCUCAGGUUUUAUCUACAGCUGUCAUCAGCAGGAUCUUCAUGGGAACCAUGACGAGGUCCAGCUAUCCUCGUGCCUGUGAGAACCCUGGUGCCUUUUCAACCCUACAGCUAAAAGUGUUUCAGUAGCAGAAUGGGAUUCAAGAGGGUGAAUCAGAACUGAAGCCCCUCUGUGGAUGACCUCUGGAACCACACCUACAACUGACUAACAACCAGGACAUGAUCCUUUAUGGCACAACUCUUAUCAUUUUUCCAAACUCUGCCUAGUCUUGGAGCAUCGCCCAUCAACCUGACAGCCAACUUCAUUUAAAGACAUAACCCUUGGCCAGG